This 936-nucleotide ribosomal RNA is filed under the name Triticum aestivum (bread wheat). RNAcentral describes it as "partial small subunit ribosomal RNA". The record is from RNAcentral. Lineage: Eukaryota; Viridiplantae; Streptophyta; Magnoliopsida; Poales; Poaceae.
AUGCCGAAAACGGGCCACCGUGAUGGUUCCAUAUACAAGUUCAACACCACACAUCAGUGGAAGAAACAAUACCGCAUCACGGACCGUGAUGAGACUUGUUUGGAGGCAAUGAUGUUAACAGAACCCACGGGUUGCUUCUUCCUCAAUGGAUAUUGCUUGUCGCAUGUACCUACUUGCAUGUUCCAAAUUUUCUCAUUGAAAUUGGCUGAAAUUUCUGUUGAUGAUGGGCUAGUACAGUUGUAUGGAUACAUAGCAGUGCGGGACGAUCUGGAUCCAUUGCUUAAUUAUAUUGCCAGUUUUACCAGGGAUGAUCCUAUCAUCGUGAAACAGGUACACACACGUACUUAUCUGCAAUUAUUUCAAGGCAUCAUGACUGGCCCUAAGCGAGGGAUAGAUUUUUGUGACAAUAUUGCAAUUGAAUAUGACAUGAGGAUCAAGACAAGUGAACAAGAAAAUCAUGAUCUACAACUGAUUGAUGGUGCAUCUGCAAUAGGCAUCCCGGACUUAAGGAACUAUCAUGCACUCACAAAACGCAUCCAUGGUGAUUGUGGCGCGAUUGACAUAACAAUAUCACGUGUUGAGCAUGCCAUUGAGGCGACUGUGGAAGUUGUCAUAUCGGAAGUGCAAAGGAGUUUCCAAUUUUGUGUUGGUUGUUUUACUAGUGGGUUGGAUGAAGAAAUCCGACUCUUCGAUGGUAUCAUUGGUGGGUCACGAUGCUUAAAGAGGUCUGUAGUUGCUGUAGUGGUACGUUCUUGGAUGGAGUUGAAGUUCAAGGUAAGCCCGGACUCAUCAAAUUCGGCUGAACAUUGUUGUUCCUUCCGCGCGGACAGCCAUGGGCUUACUACUCAAAAGAUAAAGACUAAUCAUGCGUUAAUCUUGGUAAAGGUGACUUGGUCGCCUUUGCCUCUAGCUUUCUCUGGUCCAUAUAAACUCUAA